RNAcentral lists this ribosomal RNA (592 nucleotides) under uncultured bacterium. RNAcentral's name for it is "bacterial SSU rRNA". It matches the Rfam family "Bacterial small subunit ribosomal RNA", at positions 338 to 944 of the family's 1533-position model. The record is from RNAcentral.
CCUACGGGAGGCAGCAGUGGGGAAUAUUGGACAAUGGGCGAAAGCCUGAUCCAGCAAUGCCGCGUGAGUGAUGAAGGCCUUAGGGUUGUAAAGCUCUUUUACCAGGGAUGAUAAUGACAGUACCUGGAGAAUAAGCUCCGGCUAACUCCGUGCCAGCAGCCGCGGUAAUACGGAGGGAGCUAGCGUUGUUCGGAAUUACUGGGCGUAAAGCGUGCGUAGGCGGUGAUUCAAGUCAGAGGUGAAAGCCUGGAGCUCAACUCCAGAACGGCCUUUGAAACUAGAUCGCUAGAAUUAUGGAGAGGUAAGUGGAAUUCCGAGUGUAGAGGUGAAAUUCGUAGAUAUUCGGAAGAACACCAGUGGCGAAGGCGACUUACUGGACAUAUAUUGACGCUGAGGUACGAAAGCGUGGGGAGCAAACAGGAUUAGAUACCCUGGUAGUCCACGCCGUAAACGAUGAUAACUAGCUGUUCGGGCUCUCAGAGCUUGAGUGGCGCAGCUAACGCAUUAAGUUAUCCGCCUGGGGAGUACGGUCGCAAGAAUUAAAACUCAAAUUGAAUUGACGGCUUGNGAGNGCGAGCGACACGAGGAGAGG